AAUGGGCUUCGAACGUCAAGCCCAUUAACUUAAGUUGUAUGCCAAUUUAAUGAAUAAAGAUUCAUUAAAGCCCAAAAGCCCAAAAAUCCCAAUAUGGCCGGCCAUAGUAUAUGAAUUAGGGUUUUGGUUGUUUAGGUCACUUAAAGAAUUGACUAUAUAAAUGACUUUAUAGCCAAAUAUUCAUUAAGGAUUAAAAGGGUUAAUUUUGGGGAAAAUUGGUGAGAAUUGUCUCUCCAUUUCUCUCUAAAGAGGCCAACACCUUGGAGGG
RNAcentral lists this long non-coding RNA (268 nucleotides) under Malus domestica (apple). RNAcentral describes it as "long non-coding RNA (MDOM_LNC013468)". Lineage: Eukaryota; Viridiplantae; Streptophyta; Magnoliopsida; Rosales; Rosaceae. The record is from RNAcentral.